UGGGGAAUAUUGGACAAUGGGGGGUACCCUGAUCCAGCCAUGCCGCGUGUGUGAAGAAGGCCUUAUGGUUGUAAAGCACUUUAAGCGAGGAGGAGGGUACUGGUAUUAAUACUACCAGGUACUGGACGUUACUCGCAGAAUAAGCACCGGCUAACUCUGUGCCAGCAGCCGCGGUAAUACAGAGGGUGCGAGCGUUAAUCGGAUUUACUGGGCGUAAAGCGUGCGUAGGCGGCUAAUUGAGUCGGAUGUGAAAUCCCCGAGCUUAACUUGGGAAUUGCAUUCGAGACUGGUUAGCUAGAGUGUGGGAGAGGAUGGUAGAAUUCCAGGUGUAGCGGUGAAAUGCGUAGAGAUCUGGAGGAAUACCGAUGGCGAAGGCAGCCAUCUGGCCUAACACUGACGCUGAGGUACGAAAGCAUGGGGAGCAAACAGG
Molecule: ribosomal RNA, 430 nt
Filed under: Pseudomonadota bacterium
Lineage: Bacteria; Pseudomonadati; Pseudomonadota
Description: Proteobacteria bacterium partial 16S ribosomal RNA
Rfam family: Bacterial small subunit ribosomal RNA
Source: RNAcentral